Molecule: ribosomal RNA, 311 nt
Filed under: uncultured Pseudomonas sp.
Lineage: Bacteria; Pseudomonadati; Pseudomonadota; Gammaproteobacteria; Pseudomonadales; Pseudomonadaceae
Description: bacterial SSU rRNA
Rfam family: Bacterial small subunit ribosomal RNA
Source: RNAcentral
UGUUCGGGUUAAGUCCCGUAACGAGCGCAACCCUUGUCCUUAGUUACCAGCACGUUAUGGUGGGCACUCUAAGGAGACUGCCGGUGACAAACCGGAGGAAGGUGGGGAUGACGUCAAGUCAUCAUGGCCCUUACGGCCUGGGCUACACACGUGCUACAAUGGUCGGUACAAAGGGUUGCCAAGCCGCGAGGUGGAGCUAAUCCCAUAAAACCGAUCGUAGUCCGGAUCGCAGUCUGCAACUCGACUGCGUGAAGUCGGAAUCGCUAGUAAUCGUGAAUCAGAAUGUCACGGUGAAUACGUUCCCGGGCCUU